This is a long non-coding RNA of Malaya genurostris, 2944 nucleotides long. RefSeq lists it as uncharacterized. The record is from RefSeq and is a predicted model, not a curated record. Lineage: Eukaryota; Metazoa; Arthropoda; Insecta; Diptera; Culicidae. The transcript is spliced from 3 exons.
AAUCAGUGUAGACAUCUUUGAGAAAUCGUAGCGCGUAUUAAAUUUCUGAAUACCUUCCGAAUCGUAAACUGAAUACCACUAAAACUGAAAUAAGUUUAUUUGGUUAUCGACUAUCGAAAUCUGCAAAGCCGAAAAACCUGAUCAAUUUAGGUGAAAUAGACACCUAUACUAAUCACCCUAUAUCUUAUAAACCGGAAGUCGGACCUGAUUAAAAAAUUUUAUUUGAAUCUUAGAUCGGUUAAGCCAUCUACGAGAAAAAUGAGUUGCAUUAUUUUAAUUUCGUUUCACUGUGGUUCCACAAUCAGAAGUCGGAUUCAAACGUAAUUCAGGAACCUUGUUUGAUAGCAUACGACUUUUCAUAUGAAUCUGAGUUUGUAGAACACCGUUGAGUCAUCUCCGAGAAAAUGCAGUGAAAUUAUUUGUCACACACGUAUUUGCUGAUCUCGACGAACUGAUUCGAAUGUGUGGGAUAUGGAUACGAAAUGUUUCAUAUUUGACAGCUACAUCAGUGUCAGAACGAAAACCCACCAACAUUCGACCGACGGCACGACCAGGCACUCCGAAGAAAAAUCUGAAGAAAAAGUGUUCGUGAGUGAUUUACCGACAGUUACCAUAAAUAUAGCGACCCCUCGAUAAUCAUGAAAAUAAUCUUCUUGAGCAACACUGUUUAAGUUGCUACAAGGAGCGCUACAAUAAAUAAACAAAUCAUUUGAGAAAGUUGUGAAACUUUUAUAUAAAUUUAAAUUUUGUUUCAACGUUCUUUUUAGAUUUGCGCCGACCACAAUAGUACAAUAACCAAAUCUGGUACUAGAAGUAGUGUUGCGACAGAAAGGCGUCAUCCUAUAUCAUCCACAGCUACCCAUUAGCUCUAUCUGCAGUGUAGUUAUCUAGCUCAUCCAUGAUGAUGGUCUUUCUUUUUAGGAAUAUCCAUUCGAGUUUCCGAAACACAUCACUUUUGCUUAACAUACUGUCAACCAACCCGGAAGUUAGUACCAGUCUUCACGAAAUGAAAAUGAGACUUCAUUGAGACUGAUGAUUGGACUGAUAAAAUGUUUCGCAAUGACGGAUUGAAUGACUGCAAAACUUAACACCAUUUAAAAACUCAUUUAUAUAUCAGAUAGUCAUUAUAGAUCCAUCAUCCAUGAAUAUUGAAUUGUCUGGAAGCCAUUUUUAAUAUGUUCGAGCACCAGCAAGCCUCAACGAAGACCUCUAUCCGAUUAAACUAAAUGAUAAUUCCACUCGAGGCAGUUUGUUUUGUUUACAUUUCCCAAGUCUCCAAUAUGCAGUAACCAAGGUUAUGGCGAUUUCGUUUUGACAUAACCAGUUACUGAGGGGUAGUUAAAUUUGCGAUACAGUUUCGAUAGACGAGUGGCAGGUCGUGUCGUCGAUUCGACGCAGCAAUCCUUGACCACGAACGAGAGGAACCAGUAACUAACAUCGACCUCUUUCAAUCACAAGCUGCUGAGGAGGUAAGACGUGACCACAAUAGACCUGACAUGCGGAGUGAUUCCCUGCAAUUCUGUCUGCAAUUUUCACAGAAUGGUAUAUGGGUAUUAUGUUCUUCCAGCAUUUAUUGCUGUAAGUAGUUUAAAUCAAUAGAUUUAUGGAAUUGCUUUCAACCCGAGAAUGCUGCCAUCGUCUGGUUUUCAUAUGCCAUAUUCGAAUAAACCAUGCUAAAAUCGGUCCGAGGCAAAAAGUCAUAAAAAAAAAUGCUGUGCACAGUUUUUUUUGGUACUUAGAGACAAUUGUAUGUUACAGUAUAAAAAAUCGUUGCUCCCAAGUAUUGCUUUGUCAUACAGCGCUCAAAACUUCUACUGCUGGAAUAGGGGGAAAAGUCGCUUAUACAAAAAUGUCGAUAUCUCCGUUAAAAAUGGACGCAUUUUAACAAUCUAUGGCUUGUCGGAUAGCUAUUACCGUGCGGAAUUUAAGUAUGGAAACAUAUUCUGUUUUCAAGGUCAAGUGCGACAGAUACUGUCAAAAAAUUUGAAAUGAAAAUUUUGAUUUAAAACUUCGUAUAACUCAAAACGUAAACAUCCAAUCUCAAAACCAUCCAAUAGCGCUCUGGGUGACGGGGAGACCUUUCAUUUGCAACUAGUUUGAUCAAAAUCGGUCCAGCCAUCUCUGAGAUCUCGACCUCUUUGUUGACAACACAAAUACAGACACACACACACGGACAUUUGAUCAGUUCGUCGAGCUGAAUCGAUUGGUACAUAACAUUAGGCCCUCCGGGCCACAGAAAAUUUUUCUAAAGUUUGAGCGAAUUCUACACCUAUUUUUCAUAUUUAUAAAAAAGGGUAAAAAGUAAAUAUUGAAUAAGAUGAUGUUUGUUUUUCGAAUUUCCGCUCAACGACAGCGGAACUAAGAUCGUAAAUUACCGCUUCAAGGCUGAAUAAAAGUAAGUUGGUACGCAUAAAAAGACUAGUAUUUCGCGAUUGAAUAAGUUUACAGAACUUUUCAUUAAACUUCAAUGUUACAGCAAUUGACGGUUACGUUUCCACAGUUCGAACAAAAUCUAGUACCUUCCUCUCGAUGAAACCCAUAAAUUCGAUGUGGUUGGCAACAUUCCACUCGAUAAUCAUCUUGGAGUAGUGGCAGCUGUUCAAAUCGUUCCAAAAGAAGACCCUAUUCAUCGAUCAAAGUGCAGCCUUUAUGUUUCGCCAAAAACAAGAGUCUUGCACGCUUUUCGGCCGGAAUUCUGUUUCAUGAUGCGGAUCGCAUGUUUACUGGAUUUGGACUGAUUUGUAUCCUUUCCUGAUGAGAAUAUUACACGCCGUUUGAAUAAUGGAGUUGUAUAGGGCUACCACCAUUGAUGCACCCCUCGCCCGGCAGCAAUUCACAUUCACUUGAAAACUACUUCAAAAUAGGAUAUUUUCAUUAUUUGUUGUAUUAGCAAACGAUAAACUCGGAUUUUCCAGGAAAAAGAACAUCAAUGAAGUAAAAUAAG